AGAGUUUGAUCCUGGCUCAGGACGAACGCUGGCGGCGUGCUUAACACAUGCAAGUCGAGCGAUGAAACUACUUCGGUAGUGAAUUAGCGGCGAACGGGUGAGGAACACGUGAGGAAUCUGCCUUCUACGCUGGGAUAACUCCGGGAAACCGGGGCUAAUACCGGAUAUGAAACUUGGUGGCAUCACCGAGUUUGGAAAGUUUUUCGGUAGAAGAUGACCUCGCGGCCUAUCAGCUUGUUGGUGAGGUAAUGGCUCACCAAGGCGACGACGGGUAGCCGGCCUGAGAGGGCGACCGGCCACACUGGGACUGAGACACGGCCCAGACUCCUACGGGAGGCAGCAGUGGGGAAUAUUGGGCAAUGGAGGAAACUCUGACCCAGCGACGCCGCGUGCGGGAUGAAGGCCUUCGGGUUGUAAACCGCUUUCAGUAGGGAAGAAGCGAAAGUGACGGUACCUACAGAAGAAGCACCGGCUAACUAUGUGCCAGCAGCCGCGGUAAUACAUAGGGUGCAAGCGUUGUCCGGAAUUAUUGGGCGUAAAGAGCUCGUAGGUGGUUCGUUACGUCGGAUGUGAAAAUCUGGGGCUCAACCCCAGACCUGCAUCCGAUACGGUCGAGCUAGAGUUUGGUAGGGGAGACUGGAAUUCCUGGUGUAGCGGUGGAAUGCGCAGAUAUCAGGAGGAACACCAAUGGCGAAGGCAGGUCUCUGGGCCAAUACUGACACUGAGGAGCGAAAGCGUGGGGAGCGAACAGGAUUAGAUACCCUGGUAGUCCACGCCGUAAACGGUGGGCGCUAGUUGUGGGAACCUUCCACGGUUUCUGCGACGCAGCUAACGCAUUAAGCGCCCCGCCUGGGGAGUACGAUCGCAAGAUUAAAACUCAAGGAAUUGACGGGGCCCCGCACAAGCAGCGGAGCAUGCGGCUUAAUU
RNAcentral lists this ribosomal RNA (927 nucleotides) under uncultured bacterium. RNAcentral describes it as "bacterial SSU rRNA". It matches the Rfam family "Bacterial small subunit ribosomal RNA", at positions 8 to 951 of the family's 1533-position model. The record is from RNAcentral.